Molecule: small nuclear RNA, 163 nt
Filed under: Macaca fascicularis (crab-eating macaque)
Lineage: Eukaryota; Metazoa; Chordata; Mammalia; Primates; Cercopithecidae
Description: U1 spliceosomal RNA (ENSMFAG00000042738.2)
Rfam family: U1 spliceosomal RNA
About the family: U1 is a small nuclear RNA (snRNA) component of the spliceosome (involved in pre-mRNA splicing). Its 5' end forms complementary base pairs with the 5' splice junction, thus defining the 5' donor site of an intron.
Source: Rfam by way of RNAcentral
AUACUUAGCUGGCAGAGGAGAUACCAUGAUCACGAAGGUGGUUUUCCCAGGGCAAGGCUUAUCCAUUGCACUCAGGGUGUGCUGACUCCUGCAAUUUCUCCAAAUGUGGGAACUAAACUGCAUAAUUUGUGAUAGUGAGAGACUGUGUUCUCACUUUCCCCUA